GAAGUUCCACCUACCAAACACAGGUACAUUUUGGGUGACAGAGAGGCUGGACUUAAGGGAGACACACGUAUCCCAGGUGGUUCUCCGGAAGCCCUGCUGCUCUGAACUCCUGUAUCACGAGAUGUUAUGAAGUUCUAUCCAGGAUAAACUGGGGAGAGGCUUUUGGCUUCCAAGAUCAAAGACAAACCUGAAGGAUUCAAAGCUGGAGCCAGAGAGGGCGGCAUUAGACUGCCCACUGUUUUCCUAUCCCUGCCUCUUCCCCGCGGCAGGAGAAUGCUCUUCCCUAGGAUCAUGCCCCCUGCCUGCCUGGGCUGACUGCAGACGAGCAGGAAAGCAGGGUUUCGACUAACAGCUCUCACCAACUAUUGCCAACACAGAUGAAUUAAGACACCAGCUGAAGGGGUUUCUCUGAUGGGAAAACAACCUUGGUUGUUCCAUAGAAACAAAGAAUCCACCUGCCAGUGGGGUUCAGUUUCUGAUCUGGGAUGAUCCCAGACGCCGCGGAGCAACGGAGCCUGGGAACCACAACUACCGAAGCCCACGUGCCCUAGAGCCUGUGCUCCGCAACAGAGAAGCCACUGCAGAGAGAAGCAGCCCACACACUGCAACCAGAGAAAAGCCCUGGC
Molecule: long non-coding RNA, 626 nt
Organism: Bos taurus (domestic cattle)
Lineage: Eukaryota; Metazoa; Chordata; Mammalia; Artiodactyla; Bovidae
Source: Ensembl